CCUACGGGUGGCAGCAGUGGGGAAUAUUGCACAAUGGGGGAAACCCUGAUGCAGCGACGCCGCGUGAAGGAAGAAGUAUUUCGGUAUGUAAACUUCUAUCAGCAGGGAAGAAAAUGACGGUACCUGACUAAGAAGCCCCGGCUAACUACGUGCCAGCAGCCGCGGGAAUACGUAGGGGGCAAGCGUUAUCCGGAUUUACUGGGUGUAAAGGGAGCGGAGGCGGUGCAGCAAGUCAGAAGUGAAAGCCCGGGGCUCAACUCCGGGACUGCUUUUGAAACUGUUGAACUAGAUGGCAGGAGAGGUAAGUGGAAUUCCUAGUGUAGCGGUGAAAGGCGUAGAUAUUAGGAGGAACACCAGUGGCGAAGGCGGCUUACUGGACUGUAAAUGACGCUGAGGCUCGAAAGCGUGGGGAGCAAACAGGAUUAGAUACCCGAGUAGUC
Molecule: ribosomal RNA, 440 nt
Filed under: uncultured bacterium
Lineage: Bacteria
Description: partial 16S ribosomal RNA
Rfam family: Bacterial small subunit ribosomal RNA
Source: RNAcentral